Molecule: transfer RNA, 73 nt
Filed under: Gordonia phage OneUp
Lineage: Duplodnaviria; Heunggongvirae; Uroviricota; Caudoviricetes
Also listed under: 1 other name
Rfam family: tRNA
About the family: Transfer RNA (tRNA) molecules are approximately 80 nucleotides in length. Their secondary structure includes four short double-helical elements and three loops (D, anti-codon, and T loops).
Source: Rfam by way of RNAcentral
UUCGACGUAGCUCAAUUGGCAGAGCGUCCGACUGUUAAUCGGAUGGUUGAAGGUUCGAGUCCUUCCGUCGGAG